CCAAAGUAUAGUCCUCUCCAGUUCUCUGCGGUCUGUGACCCCUGUCAGCUGCUGCUAAGAGCUGGAGAAGUGGAAUCCCACGUAGAAACUCCAGUGUGGUUCUAGUAUAGACACUGGGCAUGCUCAGUA
Molecule: long non-coding RNA, 129 nt
Organism: Monodelphis domestica (gray short-tailed opossum)
Lineage: Eukaryota; Metazoa; Chordata; Mammalia; Didelphimorphia; Didelphidae
Rfam family: SMAD5 antisense RNA 1 conserved region 2
Source: Rfam